RNAcentral lists this ribosomal RNA (1568 nucleotides) under human metagenome. RNAcentral describes it as "bacterial LSU rRNA". It matches the Rfam family "Bacterial large subunit ribosomal RNA", at positions 813 to 2405 of the family's 2925-position model. The record is from RNAcentral.
GGAUAGGGGAGAAAUUCCAAUCGAACCCGGAGAUAGCUGGUUCUCCUCGAAAUAGUUUUAGGACUAGCCUCGUUAUUAGUCUACCGGAGGUAGAGCACUGAAUUUUUGCGGGGGCGUCAAAGCCUACCAAGAGAUAUCAAACUCCGAAUGCCGGCUAGAUGAUUGACGGGAGUCAGACUACACGAGAUAAGUUGGGUAGUCAAAAGGGAAAGAGCCCAGACCUACGGCUAAGGUCCCAAAGUGUGUGUUAAGUGGAAAAGGAUGUGGGAUUUCGAAGACAGCUAGGAUGUUGGCUUAGAAGCAGCCAUACAUUAAAAGAGUGCGUAACAGCUCACUAGUCGAGAGGUCCUGCGCCGAAAAUGUCCGGGGCUAAACACAACACCGAAGCCUGGGAAUGUAGUAAUACAUUGGUAGAGGAGCAUUCUUAGAGGCGUAGAAGCCAUACCGGAAGGAAUGGUGGAGUAAUAAGAAGAGAGAAUGCCGGAAUGAGUAGCGAGAAAGAGGUGAGAAUCCUCUUGGCCGAAUAUCUAAGGUUUCCUGAGUAAAGCUGAUCUACUCAGGGUAAGUCGGGGCCUAAGGCAAGGUCGAAAGACGUAGUCGAUGGAUAACAGGUACAGAUUCCUGUACUACAUAUAAUCAGAACUGUGGGGACACGGAGACUAAAACCGAACCCGGGAGGACAAAAACCGGGGCAAGCGAAGUACCUGUAUGGGAGGAAAAACCACCAUGCAAAGGGAAAGCGUGAUGCGUACCGAAAAUUAGUAGGGAAGUCGGUUAGGGAGCCGUCAAGAAAAGCCGCUAUUGUGUUAUAUGUACCCGUACCGCAAACCGACACAGGUAGAUGAGGAGAGAAUCCUAAGGCCGGCGGGAGAAGCAUUGUUAAGGAACUCGGCAAAAUGACCCCGUAACUUCGGGAGAAGGGGUGCCACUGGAAACAGUGGUCGCAGAAAAAAGGCUCAAGCAACUGUUUAGCAAAAACACAGGUCUAUGCGAAACCGCAAGGUGAAGUAUAUGGGCUGACGCCUGCCCGGUGCCGGAAGGUUAAGAGGAGAAGUCAGGAAACGAAGCUUUGAAUUGAAGCCCCGGUAAACGGCGGCCGUAACUAUAACGGUCCUAAGGUAGCGAAAUUCCUUGUCGGGUAAGUUCCGACCCGCACGAAAGGCGUAAUGAUUUGAGCGCUGUCUCAACAAUGCACCCGGUGAAAUUGAAGUACCAGUGAAGAUGCUGGUUACCUGCGCCAGGACGGAAAGACCCCAUGGAGCUUUACUCCAGUUUGGUACUGGGAUUCGGUAAUACUCGUACAGGAUAGGUGGGAGACUUAGAAGCAUGGACGCCAGUUUAUGCAGAGUCGCCGUUGGGAUACCACCCCUGUAUUGCUGGAUUUCUAACCUGCGGCCGUUAUCCGGCCGGGGGACAAUGCCAGACGGGGAGUUUGACUGGGGCGGUCGCCUCCGAAAGAGUAUCGGAGGCGCUCGAAGGUUCCCUCAGAAUGGUCGGAAACCAUUCAAAGAGUGCAAAGGCAGAAGGGAGCUUGACUGCGACACCGACGGGUGGAGCAGGUACGAAAG